Molecule: long non-coding RNA, 1140 nt
Filed under: Bemisia tabaci
Lineage: Eukaryota; Metazoa; Arthropoda; Insecta; Hemiptera; Aleyrodidae
Description: lncRNA ENSSSA2NGG010496
Source: RNAcentral
GCAAAGUUAUUUCUUAAUUGAUCUAUUUCAUUCUGUCAUUUCAUUUACUUUUUUUGUAGAUGCAUCAAACGGUGAGGAUCUGCGGCACCGGAAAAAGGUUCUAAAAAAAGCAAAAGAAAAAACUACUCCGGCGGCGUAGUUCGGGAGGACCUGAUUUACUCUUGCCCCGUGAGCAUUUACUCAACCGGAGGCGGGGCUCUUUGCCAAGUGAAAUGUUUACAUCUCAAUCAGGUAACUCAAAUAAUAGAAAUUUGGAGAAUUCAAGACGGAUCGUCAGCUCCAGAAGGUCUUUGGCUCACCCUAAGAUCCAGCUACUUCCGCAAUAGCUAAGUUCCACUGGUCCAUCACCUCUCGACUCACAGUCCUUUGCUAAUGCAAUCUUAUCGCUCACAUCUUUGAAUUGUGUCACUGAAUAUAGAUAAAAUGACUUCAGGUCUCUCAUGAGCGUAAUUUAGCUCUCUAAUUCCGACUUUAAAUGAAAACCCCUUGUUAAUAUUGUUCCAAAAACACCUAUACAGAGAAUAGUUUCUCAUGCAUUGAAUGUUUUCUACCAGUUAACCUCUGUAUCGGAGCGUACAGAAUGCAACUCUGAUGAGGUAUGAGAUGAAUUAUAAAGCAAUUAUGAUAAAAUUAGUAUCCAGUUCAGUGCAGUCUGCUUUAACUUAUUUGUCUCAAGAUUAUUUUUUCCCGCUUCUUUUUUCUUGAUUCUCACUAAGAGGACUCUGGAGAAAGAGACAUUUUUAACGUUGAAAAAGAUUACUGUCAAAGGCACUCAGAGUGUUGAAAAAGUCUCACUUUCAUUUUAACAUGUGUUUUAUGAUAAAAUUUAAGAACAAAAUCAACGGAUUUUGAGCUUCCUUAACUGCUAUUUAAGUCGUUGCAGUUUUAGUCCGAUCGAAAAAGCAGCUAGAUUCAUAAUUACCUACUGAAACAAUAUCUCGUUUCGCUUCUUUUUUUUCAUAAGUAUCUCCAUGUCUGACUGAAUUGAUCACAUAAGUACCCUCUCUAUUUUCCAUAUCAAGUAGAUGAUUUUUACUUUCUUUUUAUUAAAAAAGGGGGGUGGGGGAAAUGCCAAAUUUUUGUGUUCUCACAUAUGGAAAUAAGUUUCAAAAAACCAUUUCUAUUUCUAUUUUUGUGAGA